GGGUGACCAGUGACAGAGUGAGGGGGGGGUGACUAGUGAGGGAGGGGGUGACUAGUGACAGAGGGAGAGAGAUGGUGACUUGUGACAGAGGGAGGGAGAUUGUGACUGCCACUAGUCACCCCAUCCCUCCCUCUGUCACUAGUCACUCCCUCCCUAACUAUGUCACUAGUCACCCCCUCCCUCUGUCACUGUGUCACCCCAUCCCUCCCUCUGUCACUAGUCACUCCCUCCCUCACUCUGUCACUAUUCACCCC
Molecule: non-coding RNA, 254 nt
Organism: Pelobates cultripes (western spadefoot toad)
Lineage: Eukaryota; Metazoa; Chordata; Amphibia; Anura; Pelobatidae
Source: the annotation of a GenBank genome assembly